This 117-nucleotide microRNA precursor is filed under the name Lepisosteus oculatus (spotted gar). RNAcentral's name for it is "miRNA (ENSLOCG00000020917.1)". The record is from RNAcentral. Lineage: Eukaryota; Metazoa; Chordata; Actinopteri; Semionotiformes; Lepisosteidae.
CCAACCACUGGGCUGUUGUGGGUUACAACGAAAUCUUCUUUGCCCAUUGCUUUACAAAAACGGCGACAGUCAUUUUGCAAAAACAACAACAACAACAGCAACAACAGCAGCAACAAC